Long non-coding RNA from Girardinichthys multiradiatus, 450 nucleotides. RefSeq lists it as uncharacterized. The record is from RefSeq and is a predicted model, not a curated record. NCBI's taxonomy places the organism in Eukaryota, Metazoa, Chordata, Actinopteri, Cyprinodontiformes, Goodeidae. The transcript has 4 exons.
CAACAAGUGAAGAAAAACAUGUGUUCACAUUAAUAUUGUUCAUCAGCAAAGGAACAUGCACCAGGUUAUCUUCUGGUUGGUACUUCAGCACCCUGGCAGGUCCCUGAGGUCCUGUGAUCUGGUCCUGCAGAUGGAUCCCCAUACUAACCUGAAAACAAAUGGAAACAGAGCGUUCUGUUUAGUGGCUCAGAAACUCUGGAACUUUCUUCCUUUGGACCUGAGAUUAGCGGACUCUGUUGUCUCUUUUAAAGCCCAGUGAGGGGAUGAAAACCAUAAGUGUGAGCGGGUUAGCUGUGGUCCUGAAUCCCACAAUGCAAAUUCAAAGACUCCAUCAGGUGGUCAAGAAGCUCUUCAUUUCCUGAAGUGGUGAUCCCAUCUGGAUGGAGGAGCUGGGAAUCAGUCGAAAUCUGAAACUAAAUAUAAAAGGAAAACUCUCGAAAGCUGCAGCCU